Molecule: small RNA, 200 nt
Filed under: Escherichia coli
Lineage: Bacteria; Pseudomonadati; Pseudomonadota; Gammaproteobacteria; Enterobacterales; Enterobacteriaceae
Description: STnc150
Source: RNAcentral
CCUUAAAUAUUAACGAGCGUCCGCCAGCAAUAAUAAAAAGCUAAGGAAUAUCUAUGUGGGAGACUAGUAGUAGAACUACCACCUGACCGGCCAGCCUACCCCAAAACUACCGAGGGGUUUUGAUAACUUUUUUUGAUAAAAUUUUGAUAACCGUUAGCAGCCUAACAAAAAACAACGGGAGCGUUACGCUCCCGUUAAUA